UACAUUAGAUACCCGCGUAGUCCAGGGUGUAAACGCUGCGGGCUUUGGUGUUGGGGGUCCUUUGAGGGCGCCCAGUGCCGGAGAGAAGUUGUUAAGCCUGCUGCUUGGGGGAGUACGUCCGCAAGGAUGAAACUUAAAGGAAUUGGCGGGGGAGCACCGCAACGGGAGGAGCGUGCGGUUCAAUUGGAUUCAACGCCGGACAACUCACCAGGAGCGACGGUUACAUGAAGGCCAGGCUGAUGACCUUGCCUGAUUUUCCG
RNAcentral lists this ribosomal RNA (260 nucleotides) under uncultured archaeon. Its description in RNAcentral is "partial 16S ribosomal RNA". It matches the Rfam family "Archaeal small subunit ribosomal RNA", at positions 725 to 982 of the family's 1478-position model. The record is from RNAcentral.